CUCGGCCGCAGAACGUGCCCAGCCGGCCCCAGGACUCCUGCAGGGGCGCCCUCCGCAGCUCAGAGCCUGACAGGACCCCUUUGAACUGCCCUAGUACCAGGUACCCGGUUCAGAUCUCAACUCUUGCCAAUUGCUGUGCCCAUACUGGGCUUGCUGGGGAUACUGGCAUAACUACCGGCCCCUGGACCACGUAUGAGAGUACUUUGGGGAGAAGGUGGUCAUCGAUUUUGCCUGGGUAAGUUUCUACACGGCCUGGCUGCUGCCUGUCAGCCUGG
This is a long non-coding RNA of Cebus imitator (Panamanian white-faced capuchin), 275 nucleotides long. RefSeq lists it as uncharacterized. The record is from RefSeq and is a predicted model, not a curated record. The transcript has 3 exons. Lineage: Eukaryota; Metazoa; Chordata; Mammalia; Primates; Cebidae.